RNAcentral lists this long non-coding RNA (328 nucleotides) under Salvia miltiorrhiza (redroot sage). RNAcentral describes it as "long non-coding RNA (SMIL_LNC002800)". Lineage: Eukaryota; Viridiplantae; Streptophyta; Magnoliopsida; Lamiales; Lamiaceae. The record is from RNAcentral.
UGGUGGCAUGGAGCAGUUUUUUGUUUUCAAUUCAAACUUCUUUUGUUCUUUUCUUUUCUUUUAUUUUUUACUUUUUUUUCUUUCUUUUUGAAAAUCAUGUAAUGUGAGUAAGGAUAAAAUAUUCAAUAUGCAUAUCAAAUUAAAGAUCAUAAAAUUAGCUUUAAUUUGAUAUAUAAUAAGUACAAAACAAAUUUAAGAUGAUAAAGAUAUUAAAAUUUAAAGUUUCAAACUAAAUUAUUUUCUCUCUCCUCUCUCUUAUUUUACUUCUUUUUCUUUAAUGAUUUAUUUUUCAUUUGAUUUAUUAUAUUUUGUUUUCGUAUAUCAUUCA